RNAcentral lists this ribosomal RNA (403 nucleotides) under Verrucomicrobiota bacterium. RNAcentral's name for it is "Verrucomicrobia bacterium partial 16S ribosomal RNA". It matches the Rfam family "Bacterial small subunit ribosomal RNA", at positions 355 to 776 of the family's 1533-position model. Lineage: Bacteria; Pseudomonadati; Verrucomicrobiota. The record is from RNAcentral.
UGGGGAAUAUUGCGCAAUGGGGGCAACCCUGACGCAGCAACGCCGCGUGCGGGACGACGGCCUUCGGGUUGUAAACCGCUUUCAGCAGGGAAGAUAGUGACGGUACCUGCACAAGAAGCCCCGGCUAACUACGUGCCAGCAGCCGCGGUAAUACGUAGGGGGCGAGCGUUAUCCGGAAUUAUUGGGCGUAAAGGGUACGUAGGCGGUCUAUUAAGUCAGGUGUGAAAGCGUGAGGCUUAACCUCAUUAAGCACUUGAAACUGAUAGACUUGAGUGAAGGAGAGGAAAGUGGAAUUCCUAGUGUAGCGGUGAAAUGCGUAGAUAUUAGGAGGAAUACCGGUGGCGAAGGCGACUUUCUGGACUUUUACUGACGCUCAGGUACGAAAGCGUGGGGAGCAAACAGG